GUGGAUGCCUUGGCACUAAGAGCCGAUGAAAGACGUGAUAAGCUGCGAAAAGCUUCGGGGAGGAGCACAUAUCCAUUGAUCCGGAGAUAUCUGAAUGGGGAAACCCGGCAGAGGAAACCUCUGUCAGCAUGUAGUGAAUUCAUAGCUGCAUGUGGGGAACCCGGGGAACUGAAACAUCUAAGUACCCGGAGGAAGAGAAAGAAAAUUUAUCGAUUUCCAAAGUAGCGGCGAGCGAAAUGGAAAGAGCCCAAACCGUGAUGCGUGCAUCGCGGGGUUCGGACUGCGUUGUGGCAGACGUAAGAUAGGAGAACGGACUGGGAAGUCCGGCCGGAGAGAGUGAAAGCCUCGUAUCCGAAAUCCCAAGUCGCCUAGCAGGAUCCAGAGUAGGACGAGACACGAGAAACCUUGUCUGAACGAGCGGGGACCACCCCGUAAGGCUAAAUACUUCUUAGUGACCGAUAGCGCAUAGUACUGUGAAGGAAAGGUGAAAAGUACCCCGGGAGGGGAGUGAAAGAGAACCUGAAACCCUGUGUCUACAAGCUGUGGGACCUCUUUAUAUGAGGGACUGCGUACUUUUUGUAGAACGGUCCGGCGAGUUGUGCGUACUGGCGAGGUUAAGGACUUAAGGUCUGGAGCCGAAGUGAAAGCAAGCGUUAAUAGCGCGUCAAGUCAGUGAGUGCAGACCCGAAACCGGGUGACCUAUCCAUGUCCAGGUUGAAGCUUCCGUAAGAGGAAGUGGAGGACCGAACCCACAUCCGUUGAAAAGGGUGGGGAUGAGGUGUGGAUAGCGGAGAAAUUCCAAUCGAACCCGGAGAUAGCUGGUUCUCCUCGAAAUAGCUUUAGGGCUAGCCUCAUGAGAGUCUUAUGGAGGUAGAGCACUGAAUUGCCUAGGGGGCGUCAAAGCUUACCAAAGCAUAUCAAACUCCGAAUGCCAUCAAGAUGAUUCAUGGGAGUCAGACCAUACGAGAUAAGUUGGAUGGUCAAAAGGGAAAGAGCCCAGACCUACAGCUAAGGUCCCAAAGUGCGUGUUAAGUGGAAAAGGAUGUGGGGAUUCUAAGACAACUAGGACGUUGGCUUAGAAGCAGCCAUUCAUUGAAAGAGUGCGUAAUAGCUCACUAGUCGAGAGUCCCUGCGCCGAAAAUGUCCGGGGCUGAAACACGACACCGAAGCUUAGGAAUGUGUAAACAUUGGUAGAGGAGCAUUGCUGGCGGGAUGAAGCCAUACCGUAAGGAGUGGUGGACUGCUAGGAAGAGAGAAUGCCGGAAUGAGUAGCGAGAUGAAGGUGAGAAUCCUUCAGGCCGAAUAUCUAAGGUUUCCAGAGUAAAGCUGAUCUGCUCUGGGUAAGUCGGGACCUAAGGCGAGGUCGAAAGACGUAGUCGAUGGAUAACAGGUUGAAAUUCCUGUACCGCAUAUAAACAGAACUGUGGGGACACAGACAGGGAAUGGAAUCCGGGAGUGGAGAUCCCGGUGCAAGCGAGGUAGGAGUGCUGUUGGCAAAUCCGCAGCAUGAUCUGAAGACGUGAUGCGUACCGAACAUAAGUAGGGAAGUCCAGGCCCCUGGCUGUCAAGAAAAGCCGCUAUCGUUUUAUAUGUGCCCGUACCGCAAACCGACACAGGUGGAUGAGGAGAGAAUCCUAAGGCCGACGGGAGAAGUAUUGUUAAGGAACUCGGCAAAAUGACUCCGUAACUUCGGGAGAAGGAGUGCCAUGUAAAAGUGGCCGCAGAGAAUUGGCCCAAGCAACUGUUUAGCAAAAACACAGGUCUAUGCAAAACCGAAAGGUGAGGUAUAUGGGCUGACGCCUGCCCGGUGCUGGAAGGUUAAGGGGAGAGGUUAGCCGUAAGGCGAAGCUUUGAACUUAAGCCCCAGUAAACGGCGGCCGUAACUAUAACGGUCCUAAGGUAGCGAAAUUCCUUGUCGGGUAAGUUCCGACCCGCACGAA
RNAcentral lists this ribosomal RNA (1940 nucleotides) under human gut metagenome. Its description in RNAcentral is "bacterial LSU rRNA". It matches the Rfam family "Bacterial large subunit ribosomal RNA", at positions 24 to 1996 of the family's 2925-position model. The record is from RNAcentral.